Molecule: small RNA, 29 nt
Filed under: Bombyx mori (domestic silkworm)
Lineage: Eukaryota; Metazoa; Arthropoda; Insecta; Lepidoptera; Bombycidae
Description: ovarian small RNA-17810
Source: RNAcentral
GUCUCGUUGUCCUCAACCGUGGCGCCGAG